This 142-nucleotide non-coding RNA is filed under the name unclassified sequences. Its description in RNAcentral is "cow-rumen-3 RNA". It matches the Rfam family "cow-rumen-3 RNA". From Rfam's summary of the family: cow rumen metagenome. Environment (Cow rumen (57)) The record is from Rfam by way of RNAcentral.
GGAUCGUGUUUAAUGAGCACCAUCCUCAUGAGUUAGUGCCAUCGUCUUUUCGGCGAUGAAUACUAGUAGCACCAAACUCCUCUGAUGACCAGUAUGUCUAAAAACUAUCGUUUGGGCUGGGUGCGAUGCCCCUUGGUCCACC